This 465-nucleotide ribosomal RNA is filed under the name uncultured bacterium. Its description in RNAcentral is "bacterial SSU rRNA". It matches the Rfam family "Bacterial small subunit ribosomal RNA", at positions 330 to 793 of the family's 1533-position model. The record is from RNAcentral.
GCCAGACUCCUACGGGAGGCAGCAGUGAGGAAUAUUGGUCAAUGGCCGGGAGGCUGAACCAGCCAAGUCGCGUGAGGGAAGACGGCCCUACGGGUUGUAAACCUCUUUUGUCAGGGAGCAAGGUGCAGGUCGGGACCUGCUGUGAGAGUACCUGAAGAAAAAGCAUCGGCUAACUCCGUGCCAGCAGCCGCGGUAAUACGGAGGAUGCGAGCGUUAUCCGGAUUUAUUGGGUUUAAAGGGUGCGCAGGCGGAGGCCCAAGUCAGCGGUAAAAUCGCGGGGCUCAACCCCGCUCCGCCGUUGAAACUGUGUCCCUUGAGUGCGCGAAGGGUAGGCGGAAUGCGUGGUGUAGCGGUGAAAUGCAUAGAUAUCACGCAGAACCCCGAUUGCGAAGGUAGCCUUCCGGCGCCCUACUGACGCUGAGGCACGAAAGUGCGGGGAUCGAACAGGAUUAGAUACCCCAGUAA